This 519-nucleotide ribosomal RNA is filed under the name uncultured eukaryote. RNAcentral's name for it is "SSU rRNA". It matches the Rfam family "Eukaryotic small subunit ribosomal RNA", at positions 1161 to 1699 of the family's 1831-position model. The record is from RNAcentral.
AGGGCACCACCAGGAGUGGAGCCUGCGGCUUAAUUUGACUCAACACGGGGAAACUUACCCGGCCUGGACACUGGAAGGAUUGACAGAUUGAGAGCUCUUUCUUGAUUCAGUGGGUGGUGGUGCAUGGCCGUUCUUAGUUGGUGGAGCGAUUUGUCUGGUUAAUUCCGAUAACGAACGAGACUCUAGCCUAUUAAAUAGGCUCUCGGCUUUUAAACGCCGGGAGGACUUCUUAGAGGGACAGGUGGCGGUUCAGCCGCACGAAAGAGAGCAAUAACAGGUCUGUGAUGCCCUUUGUUGUCCGGGGCCGCACGCGCGCUACACUGAAGAGAUCAGCGUGCUUUACGUUCCUGCUCCGACCGGAGUGGGGAACCCAGUGAACCUUCUUCGUGAUUGGGAUAGAAGAUUGUAAUUAUUCUUCUUGAACGAGGAAUUCCCAGUAAAUGCGAGUCAUAAGCUCGCGUUGAUUACGUCCCUGCCCUUUGUACACACCGCCCGUCGCUACUACCGAUUGAACGAUCU